AUUGAACGCUGGCGGCAUGCCUUACACAUGCAAGUCGAACGGUAACAGGUCUUCGGAUGCUGACGAGUGGCGAACGGGUGAGUAAUACAUCGGAACGUGCCUAGUAGUGGGGGAUAACUACUCGAAAGAGUGGCUAAUACCGCAUGAGAUCUACGGAUGAAAGCAGGGGCUCGCAAGACCUUGUGCUACUAGAGCGGCCGAUGGCAGAUUAGGUAGUUGGUGGGAUAAAAGCUUACCAAGCCGACGAUCUGUAGCUGGUCUGAGAGGACGAUCAGCCACACUGGGACUGAGACACUGCCCAGACUCCUACGGGAGGCAGCAGUGGGGAAUUUUGGACAAUGGGCGCAAGCCUGAUCCAGCAAUGCCGCGUGCAGGAUGAAGGCCUUCGGGUUGUAAACUGCUUUUGUACGGAACGAAAAGCCCUGGGUUAAUACCCUGGGGUCAUGACGGUACCGUAAGAAUAAGCACCGGCUAACUACGUGCCAGCCGCCGCAGUAA
RNAcentral lists this ribosomal RNA (498 nucleotides) under uncultured bacterium. RNAcentral describes it as "partial 16S ribosomal RNA". It matches the Rfam family "Bacterial small subunit ribosomal RNA", at positions 30 to 523 of the family's 1533-position model. The record is from RNAcentral.